This 495-nucleotide long non-coding RNA is filed under the name Ananas comosus (pineapple). RNAcentral describes it as "long non-coding RNA (ACOM_LNC013670)". The record is from RNAcentral. Lineage: Eukaryota; Viridiplantae; Streptophyta; Magnoliopsida; Poales; Bromeliaceae.
CCUCGAAGAUAGGUGGGUCGAACUUCUUAAACUGGAUGAGAGCCGCCAAGGUGCGCUCUCGCUCCGCCUCUACCGCCGCGCUAUCGGGGUUUGAGGUUCCCGAUCCGGCCGGUACUACCGUAACUGGAACAGCCGCUGCUGCCGCCGCUCCCUCACCUACACUCGGCACUACCGCAGGGGGCGCGACAUGCUCGACAUCCGCCUGGGCCACCGGUGCUUGUGACGCUCCAAGGCCUCCUGAAGCCGCUGGAUCUGCUCCCCUUGGCGUUGAACAGACUCCGCCUGUUGCCGCACUACUCCAAUGAGCGCAGCCAUUUGCUCCCUAAGCUCUCCAUCGCCACUCACUCGGGAUCGCUCAGGCUCCGCACUCGGCUCCUCCGGCAUCGACCUUGUCUGAGGUCGUCCACGAGGUGCCAUUGCUUCCUGAAAAGAAGCAACUCGCAUCAGCUACAUAACCAACAUCACUUGACCAUACCCAAUCUGGCGAAAGCAACU